This 403-nucleotide long non-coding RNA is filed under the name Ananas comosus (pineapple). Its description in RNAcentral is "long non-coding RNA (ACOM_LNC015393)". Lineage: Eukaryota; Viridiplantae; Streptophyta; Magnoliopsida; Poales; Bromeliaceae. The record is from RNAcentral.
AGAGCUACUUGAAUGGUAUAUUUUAUAUUUAUCCCAUCUAUUUAAAUUAAAUAGAAUUCUAAUCAAACUUCGAUGGAAAGUCGAUCUGGACUCUAUAUAAAGAGGUAUUAGUCCUUCCACAUUCUCAUAUGCAUUCUAGUGAAGAAUUAUCAUCAGUUGCACACCAUAAAGGAAAGUGCCUGAAAUAAGAAGAGAAACCAAGUUACCUGAGUUCGGUUGGUGAUGUUCAUAUCGGUACCGAACUUUUCGCUUACAAGGAUUAAUUAAGAAUUUCUUCGCUAUAGCGCUCUGUAAGUUAUGUUAUUUUAUUUGUGAUCCUGAAUUUUGGUAUGUAUUUAUUUUAUUGUUGUUAUAUAUACCUAUAAAGAUUUAUCAAUUGGUAUCAGACCCAUGAUUGAUAAAU